Molecule: ribosomal RNA, 446 nt
Filed under: Staphylococcus aureus
Lineage: Bacteria; Bacillati; Bacillota; Bacilli; Caryophanales; Staphylococcaceae
Description: bacterial SSU rRNA
Rfam family: Bacterial small subunit ribosomal RNA
Source: RNAcentral
UUUAUGGAGAGUUUGAUCCUGGCUCAGGAUGAACGCUGGCGGCGUGCCUAAUACAUGCAAGUCGAGCGAACGGACGAGAAGCUUGCUUCUCUGAUGUUAGCGGCGGACGGGUGAGUAACACGUGGAUAACCUACCUAUAAGACUGGGAUAACUUCGGGAAACCGGAGCUAAUACCGGAUAAUAUUUUGAACCGCAUGGUUCAAAAGUGAAAGACGGUCUUGCUGUCACUUAUAGAUGGAUCCGCGCUGCAUUAGCUAGUUGGUAAGGUAACGGCUUACCAAGGCAACGAUGCAUAGCCGACCUGAGAGGGUGAUCGGCCACACUGGAACUGAGACACGGUCCAGACUCCUACGGGAGGCAGCAGUAGGGAAUCUUCCGCAAUGGGCGAAAGCCUGACGGAGCAACGCCGCGUGAGUGAUGAAGGUCUUCGGAUCGUAAAACUCUGU